Molecule: ribosomal RNA, 484 nt
Filed under: uncultured bacterium
Lineage: Bacteria
Description: partial 16S ribosomal RNA
Rfam family: Bacterial small subunit ribosomal RNA
Source: RNAcentral
AUUGAACGCUGGCGGCAGGCCUAACACAUGCAAGUCGAGCGGAUGAAGGGAGCUUGCUCCUGGAUUCAGCGGCGGACGGGUGAGUAAUGCCUAGGAAUCUGCCUGGUAGUGGGGGAUAAUGUCCGGAAACGGGCGCUAAUACCGCAUACGUCCUGAGGGAGAAAGUGGGGGAUCUUCGGACCUCACGCUAUCAGAUGAGCCUAGGCCGGAUUAGCUAGUUGGUGGGGUAAAGGCCUACCAAGGCGACGAUCCGUAACUGGUCUGAGAGGAUGAUCAGUCACACUGGAACUGAGACACGGUCCAGACUCCUACGGGAGGCAGCAGUGGGGAAUAUUGGACAAUGGGCGAAAGCCUGAUCCAGCCAUGCCGCGUGUGUGAAGAAGGUCUUCGGAUUGUAAAGCACUUUAAGUUGGGAGGAAGGGCAGUAAGUUAAUACCUUGCUGUUUUGACGUUACCAACAGAAUAAGCACCGGCUAACUUCGUG